UUGUUUUAUUCGCUGAAUUCCGUUACAGGAGGCGGGGGAACCGAAGCGAACGUGCGGGCGUCUUUUGCGGCGUUUUCCGUUCAUGGGGUGAAUCCUGGCGACAGCCGGGUAGGGCGACUCUCACGCCCGAAUCCGACAGCUAACCUCGUAAGCGUUCAGAGAGGCAAC
RNAcentral lists this small RNA (168 nucleotides) under Paenibacillus sp. RNAcentral's name for it is "c-di-AMP sequence". It matches the Rfam family "c-di-AMP riboswitch aptamer (ydaO/yuaA leader)". Rfam says of the family: This family represents a conserved RNA structure found upstream of the ydaO and yuaA genes in Bacillus subtilis and related genes in other bacteria. The record is from RNAcentral. Lineage: Bacteria; Bacillati; Bacillota; Bacilli; Caryophanales; Paenibacillaceae.